This is a long non-coding RNA of Thamnophis elegans (Western terrestrial garter snake), 1381 nucleotides long. RefSeq lists it as uncharacterized. The record is from RefSeq and is a predicted model, not a curated record. The transcript has 2 exons. NCBI's taxonomy places the organism in Eukaryota, Metazoa, Chordata, Lepidosauria, Squamata, Natricidae.
GGGCUCGAAGCCCCCUCUGCAUGAAGACAAGUGCGCCCUGAAAGCAGCCGCUUUCCUGGGAGCAGCGCUUCUCCUUUCCCCCAGGCAGCCUGGGUGGGAUCAGGGGCGGGAAGGAGCGGCUUUUCCAGCCAGCGCCCGCCAGCCAUCCCUCCUCUUCUCCCGGGGUUGGCGUGGAGUGCGACUCGCAUCUCCCCCAACCAAGACUGGGGAGAAGGGGGGUUACGAAUACUGCUGCCCGGUGUAUUUUGAGGGGCUUCGGAAAGGGGAAGGCUGGCCGAGCCCUCCGUUUGCUUGGCUAGGGGAAGAAAAUCACAAGGCGGCCAACGGAUUGUGCUUUUGCUUGCUUUCUGCUUACAUGCUUGCGCAAUUUCUACUCCGCUUUCUACUUUUAGCCUCGCCGCCCUGGAGGCGAGGCAAGUCGCCAUCGAGCUGAUGCUUUUGCAAUUAAAAAGGAAGCCGGGGAGCACCAAUGCUUUAAAAGCUGGUUAGUAAUCCGGCCGAUUGGUCCCCACACGGAACCAAAUCAGCGCCUGCCGAGCGCCCUAAACCCUUCUUCUUUUGCCCUCUCCUAACCAAGCGCCUUCCCGUCGGAGGACUUGCUUCGCUCCGCGCCCCCGCCGGGAGGGAACUUGGAGACUCUCCUCCCGAGAGCCUGUAGGAAUUCUGAGGGCUUCGGCAGCAUUCUAUCUAUAUGGACUAUCGAAACUGGGCAGAAGCAACUCAGAACAUCGGUGCCAAAAGAGGAGAACCAAAAAUAGAACCUUUCUUAAAGAAAACUAAUCAAAGUGGCGAAAUUAAACGAGAGAUGCCUCGUUUUGAAGCAAAAAUAAAAAGAACAGCUAAAACAAGUGGACCUCUGAAAAACGUGGUAAGGCAGUGCUGAAAAAUCGGAGUUUGACUCAUUUAUAUACUGGGAAAUAAAUAUAUUAUUUAUUUUGUAAAAUACAGAAAUAAUCGUGCACACAAUUAUAAGUUGUUUUUCCACAUAUGAUUUCUUUCUCCCCCUCCCCUUCGGGUCAAGCAUUUUCAUAUAGUCAACCUUUUAAAAAUGUUGACUAUAUAGCAUCUCCAUAAAUAUUUAUUUCCGACACUCUUGAAUUUUCCUAUGUCCAGCCUUUUUGACAGUGCAUCCCUGACCUCAAAGCCUCUGUAUAAGCCUAACAUACAGACACUCCCAGAGGUUCAUCUUAAAUUCUUCCUCAUUUAGAUUUUUCUCUUGCAAAGAAAUCUAUAAGGAAGUUCCGGAUGCUAUGAGAUACUACUGUCUCAGGGAGAGGGGAGGGGGGGCAUGGAGACAGAACAAUGCUUUAAAAGGUAUUUUAAAUUAAUAUAUAUUACCUUGAUUAGACCAAUCUUUAAGAUAACUCUUGUUUUUUUUUUU